This 465-nucleotide ribosomal RNA is filed under the name uncultured bacterium. RNAcentral's name for it is "partial 16S ribosomal RNA". It matches the Rfam family "Bacterial small subunit ribosomal RNA", at positions 28 to 507 of the family's 1533-position model. The record is from RNAcentral.
GACGAACGCUGGCGGCGUGCUUAACACAUGCAAGUCGAACGGAAAGGCCCCCUUGUUGGGUACUCGAGUGGCGAACGGCGGAGUAAUACGUCAUUAACCUACCCUUCUCUUUUUUAUAAUUUCUUCAAACUGGGGCUAAUACUGGCUAGUAGCUCCUCCUGCUUGGUGGGGGGGGUAAAGUUUCGGCGGUUGGGGAUGGUCUCGCGGCUUAUCAGCUUGUUGGUGGGGUAGUGGCUCACCAAGGCUUUGACGGGUAGCCGGCCUGAGAGGGUGACCGGCCACAUUGGGACUGAGAUACGGCCCAGACUCCUACGGGAGGCAGCAGUGGGGAAUAUUGCACAAUGGGCGGAAGCCUGAUGCAGCAACGCCGCGUGCGGGAUGACGGCCUUCGGGUUGUAAACCGCUUUCGCCUGUGACGAAGCGUGAGUGACGGUAAUGGGUAAAGAAGCACCGGCUAACUACGUG